GCUUCUGUGGCUCAGUUGGUAGAGCAACGCAUUCGUAAUGCGUGGGUCGUGGGUUCGAAUCCCAUCAGAAGCU
Molecule: transfer RNA, 73 nt
Filed under: Eubacterium sp. CAG:603
Lineage: Bacteria; Bacillati; Bacillota; Clostridia; Eubacteriales; Eubacteriaceae
Rfam family: tRNA
About the family: Transfer RNA (tRNA) molecules are approximately 80 nucleotides in length. Their secondary structure includes four short double-helical elements and three loops (D, anti-codon, and T loops).
Source: Rfam by way of RNAcentral